Pongo abelii (Sumatran orangutan) is the source of this 97-nucleotide small nucleolar RNA. The record is from Ensembl. Lineage: Eukaryota; Metazoa; Chordata; Mammalia; Primates; Hominidae.
AUUCUUUUGUAGGUCAUAAGUACGAUGACUGUCUUCACACUCGUGUGAGAUAUGCCUCCCUCAAACCUUGCUAUAUUGGCACAUUACCCGACUGACA